GAUCCUGGCUCAGGACGAACGCUGGCGGCGUGCCUAACACAUGCAAGUCGAACGGAGAUGUUUAUUUCGGUAGAUAUCUUAGUGGCGCACGGGUGAGUAACGCGUGAAUAACCUGACCCGAAGAGGGGGAUAACACCUGGAAACAAGUGCUAAUACCGCAUAAGACCACGGACCGGCAUCGGUCAGAGGUCAAAGGAGAAAUCCGCUUUGGGAGGGGUUCGCGUCCCAUUAGGUAGUUGGUGAGGUAACGGCCCACCAAGCCGACG
RNAcentral lists this ribosomal RNA (266 nucleotides) under uncultured bacterium. RNAcentral's name for it is "partial 16S ribosomal RNA". It matches the Rfam family "Bacterial small subunit ribosomal RNA", at positions 15 to 278 of the family's 1533-position model. The record is from RNAcentral.